GGAUUAGAGGAAAGAGGCAAAGAAAGAAAUGAAAUAUUAUGGACAAAUUUAUGUGGUUACUUAGCAACAUUUCAUAUUCUGUAUAAAAUAAUAAACAGUCAAAUUUGAGAAGGCAAUAAACAGAACAACUUUUGUUGGAUCCUUUUUUAUUAAUUUUUUAACUCCUUCGAUAUCAUUCAUCCAAAUUUUCUCAGUGUUUCUCGUAUGCACCAUGUGGGAUCUGGAUUCUCUUUUAUGAGCGUCUGAACUCCUUCGAUGUCACUCAUUAAAAUUUUCUCUGUGAUUCAUUGAAAAGAAAGUUUAUUUCUUUUGAAUCUUAAACACUAGCAGUUGUCCUCUGAUGUUUGAGAUUUGGUUGGGUAGAGAGAUGCCAAGGUCCUAAGACACUGCUGAUUGAGUCCAUAAGGUGAAAAUUGCUUUUGACCUGACACAAUCAGCCGCCGUUGUGUACCUUGCACCCCAGUGGAUAAACCUAAAAUUUGGCAGGUAUCCUACCAACUCGUUUUCUAUAUCAAAAUUGCUUUUGACCCUACCCAAUCAAACGCUGGCCAAAUUUUUACAUUUAAGAGCCUUGCAUGGUCACCACCCAGACCCCAAAAGAUGGGUAUCUUCUAUCCAUUCAGUUUCUAUUCCGGGUGACAGCCCACACCCUCAGGCGCUUGUCAAUUUUUGCCCACCAUAGGUGGGGAGAAACCAAAUUAGGGUUAGAGUCAAAUUUUGAGCCUCCGCAGGGGUGUCAAAAAGCACACCCACCGUUGUGUACCUCACACCCCAGUGGAUAAACCUAAAAUUUGGCUACUGCUGCGAACUUUUUGCUGGCUCAUCCAGCUGGUUUGCUUCUUGAAUUAUUUCGACCAACAUACUCGGUCAAAAUUGAUUCUUACAUUGUAAAGUUUUCAAUUAUACUCCCUAAAAACAGUCAAAUUUGAGAAGGCAAUAAACAGAACAACUUUUGUUGGAUCCUUUUUUAUUAAAUUUUUAACCCCUUUGAUGUCAUUCAUCCAAAUUCUAUCAGUUAUUCUCGUAUGCGCCAUGUGGGAUCUCAAUUUUUGGUUAAAUAUUUAAAAAAUGUCAAUAAAGAGAACAACUUACUUUUGUUGGAUCCAUUCUUAUUAUAUUUCUAACCCCUUCGAUGUCACCAUUCCUAAUUUUCUCAGUGAUACUCGUAUGCGCCAUGUGGGAUCUGGAUUGUCUUUUAUGAGCGUCUGAACUACUUCGAUGUCUUCAGAGCCAAGCCUUUACGAAUCAGUACCAAUUACACCCCCUUGCCUUCCGGACCGGCUAGGAGACAUGAUUUUCUCAUAGUCAUUCAGGAGGGGCUAGAAGGCUUGUAGACUGUCCAGCUUGGUCUCUGUAGCAACCAUCACAUGCAUAUCGUGUGAUCUGAGGUCGUCGAGGAAACAAGCUUUUUUUUUUUUUUGCUGGCUCAUGCAGCUGGUUUGCUUCUUGAAUUAUUUCGACCAACAUACUCGGUCAAAAUUGAGUCUUACUUAGUAAAGUUUUCAAUUAUACUCCCUAAAAACAGUCAAAUUUGAGAAGGCAAUAAACAGAACAACUUUUGUUGGAUCCUUUUUUAUUAAUUUUUCCACUCCUUUGAUGUCAUUCAUCCAAAUUUGUCUUUUAUGAGCGUCUGAACUACUUCGAUGGCUGCAGAGCCAAGCCUUUACGUAUCAGUACCAAUUACACCCCCUUGCCUUCCGGACCGGCUAGGAGACAUGAUUUUCUCAUAGUCAUUCAGGAGGGGCUAGAAGGCUUGUAGACUGUCCAGCUUGGUCUCUGUAGCAACCAUCGCAUGUAGAUUGUGUUAUCUGAGGUUGUCCAGGAAAGAAACUUGCUUCCACUUCGAGCUCAGACCACGCACAUUCAAACACCCAAGGUUAAGUGCAGUCAUUUAAAACAAAAGAAAUGCAAGGGUUCUACUUACUCUUUGACUUUUUCUAUUUCUGGCGGCACAUCCGUGACUGUGAUUUUCGAAGUUCUCUUUCCUGAGUAAGUCGGGAGCAGAACUACUUCUGCCAACUUCACUGUCCUUGUUGAAUCCAUUCUUAUCAUAUUUUCAACCCCUUUCAUGUCACCCAUCCAAAAUUUUCUCAGUGAUUCUCGUAUGCACCCUGUGGGAUCUGGAUUGUCUUUUAUGAAAAUUUCAGCUCCUUCGAUGUCACCCAUCCAAAUUUUAUCAGUGAUUCUCGUAUGCGCCAUGUGGGGUCUCAAUUUUUGGUUAAAUAUUUAUAAAAAUGUCAAUGAUGAGGAUUAGAGGAAAGAGGCAAAGAAAGAAAUGAAAUAUUAUGGAAAAAUUUAUGUGGUUACUUAGCAACAUUUCAUAUUGUGUAUAAAAUAAUAAACAGUCAAAUUUGAGAAGGCAAUAAACAGAACAACUGGCACUGUCAUGCUUUUAGUUGUCAGGAGGAAAGUAGAAAAAGUGUGACGUCACUUGUCCACCUUCGUUUCUUUCCGUAGAAUUUAUCAAAUUAAAAAACGCAAAGUUUAUCAAAAACGCGUGUAAAUAUAUCAAAUUAAUAAACGCAAAUUAUUUAGAAUGUAAAAAUAUAAUUUUCAACAGAGAGAAUUUAUCAAAAUAUAAAACAAAUGAAGCUUGAAGUUAAGUUUAAAAAUAAAUGUGAUACUUAUGCUCUGUAGAUACUUAUACUCUCUAAGGUCUCAGACACAUUGAUAUAGCUGUCGAAUUUGCUCCAAUAACUUUCCGAAUAUAUCGUCCUUAAAUUCAUAACGCCACAUGAAUUCGAUGAGAUGGGUCUGAAGUAAAUUUCGGGCUGUUCCAUUUUCUCUUUUGUUGCGAUUCUUUACAUGUUUCCAUAAACAGUCUAUGUGGUUGGUUUUGGCAAAUGUUACCGGAUCAACAAAAUUUAUUGAAUGAUUCACGGUCAAAUGCCUGUAUCCUAGCUGAUUGAGCGUAUUAUACUAACGCCAGAGGUCGGAAAUUAUGGUUGUACCAGGCAAUAUACGGUCUUGUAUAAUUUGUAAAAGGGUAUCCGCUCUCCGAUCUUCCACUGCCACUAAUAAACAUCUUCUGGUAUCUCUUAUGAUAAUCUCUUUCUAAAGCGCCAAAUACCCACUGCGUUUUAACCCGAUGGCCAACAUUAUAUUUCUUUCUAACAAACGCGCUUUCGUCUAUCUCUACAAUUCGGUUCGGCCCUCCGAGCUUAAUGUUUUGUGCAACAUAAUAUUCUGCACAUAUAUCACGGCAAAAAUUCCUCCAAUCUGUUACGGCUACAUUUGCUAUAUGACAUUCCUGUCCUAUUCCCUUGGCUAAAUCUUCUUUUGCCCAAUAAUGCAAUAUAUCUAUAAUUUGUUGACACUUCAAUUUACUAUUUUCUAAAAAUGUUCCUUUUCUAACUGAAACGGUUUUCCUACAAGGCCUUCCACAUGGCCAUAUUACUUCAUCCGACAAAUUUUUUUCCGCUAUUUCACUCAUGCUACCUCCACACAAUAUACAUAUUUUCUGGGUAUUCAAAAGGCCAUGUCUCUUAAGCCAAUUAAUGCUAUCUGCUGCUGUAGCCGUGGCGAUGGCAAUAUCGCGGUGAUUAAUUCCUUUUAGACUUGGAUAUGCAGAAGCCAUAUUGAAAAUUUUUUGGCACGUGUUGAUAUCAAAGAGAAGAACUUUCAAACUUUGAAUUACGCGCGGUUUCAGUGGUGGUAGUGGUGGUCAGUGGUCAUUCUGAUUGGUGUAUGUGAUCACGGUGGUGGGGGUGGGGGUGGUCAUUUGUGCAGAUUUCGUGUGAUUUCUUUUUUAAAAACAAUAAUGAAUAAUGCAAGAAUAUAUUUAUUUAUAAAGUUUAAACAGAACAUGGAAUGAAAUGUAUUUAUUUAUAAACUUUAAACUGAACUUCAAUUGUUUUAUAAACCUAACAGCGUGGUGGUAGGUAAAUAAACGGAGUAAAUUAACGAAGGUAUAAACUUGACGAUGGAAAUACACGAAGUUGACUUCUGAUUUUUCUACUUUCACUUCAGACGACUAAAGGCAUGACAGUGCCAAACAACUUACUAUUGUUCGAUCCUUUUUUAUUAAAUCUUUAACCCCUUCGAUGUCACCCAUCCCAAAUUUUCUCAGUGAUUCUCAUAUGCACCAUGUGGCAUCUGGAUUGUCUUUUAUGAGCAUUUGAAAUCCUUCGAUGUCACCCAUCGAAAAUUUUCUCUCAUUCUCGUAUGCGCCAUGUGGGAUCUCAAUUUUUGGUUAAAUAUUUAUAAAAAUGUCGAUGAUGAGGAUUUGAGGAAAAAGGCGAAGAAAGAAAUGAAAUAUUAUGGACAAAUUUAUGUGGUUACUUAGCAACAUUUCAUAUUGUGUAUAAAAUAAUAAACAGUCAAAUUUGAGAAGGCAAUAAACAGAACAAUUUUUGUUGGAUCCUUACUUAUUAAUUUUUUAACUCCUUCGAUGUCACCCAUCCACAUUUUCUCAGUGAUACUCGUAUGCACCAUGUGGGAUCUGUAUUGUCUCUUAUGAGCGUCUGAACUCCUUCGAUGUCUGCAGAGCCAAGCCUUUACGAAUCAGUACCAAUUACACCCCCUUGCCUUCCGGACCGGCUAGGAGACAUGAUUUUCUCAUAGUCAUUCAGGAGGGGCGAGAAGGCUUGUAGACUGUCCAGCUUGGUCUCUGUAGCAACCAUCGCAUGCAUAUCGUGUGAUCUGAGGUCGUCGAGGAAACAAGCUUUUUUUUUUUUGCUGGCUCAUGCAGCUGGUUUGCUUCUUGAAUUAUUUCGACCAACAUACUCGGUCGAAAUUGAUUCUUACAUUGUAAAGUUUUCAAUUAUACUCCCUAAAAACAGUCAAAUUUGAGAAGGCAAUAAACAGAACAACUUUUGUUGGAUCCUUACUUAUUAAUUUUUUAACUCCUUCGAUGUCACCCAUCCACAUUUUCUCAGUGAUACUCGUAUGCACCAUGUGGGAUCUGUAUUGUCUCUUAUGAGCGUCUGAACUCUUCGAUGUCUGCAGAGCCAAGCCUUUACGAAUCAGUACCAAUUACACCCCCUUGCCUUCCGGACCGGCUAGGAGACAUGAUUUUCUCAUAGUCAUUCAGGAGGGGCGAGAAGGCUUGUAGACUGUCCAGCUUGGUCUCUGUAGCAACCAUCACAUGUAGAUUGUGUUAUCUGAGGUUGUCCAGGAAAUAAGCUUGCUUCCAUUUCGAGCUCAGACCACUUACAUUCAAACACCCAAGGUUAAGUGCAGUCAUAUAAAACAAAAGAAAUGCAAGGGUUCUACCUACUCUUGACUUAUUUUAUUUCUGGUAGAAUAUCCGUGACUAUGAUUUUCGAAGUUCUCUUUCCUAAGUAAGUCGGGAGCAGAACUACUUCUGCCGACUUCAAUGUCCUUGUUGAAUGUUCCCUAGCUUUUUCUUUGCUAGGGAAACGCACCUCUACAAUGCCGAAGCGACUACCCUUCGUUAUGUAACUUGUUUGUUGCCAUAUCAGCCUCAAGCAUUUUUGGAUUGCUUCCCUCAGUACAAAAUCGAUUUUUUUAUUCUUGACAGUUUUUCUAUCACAGCUUUUUUCCUCAACAGUUCUCGUAGCAGUGCAAACAGCUGCAAACCUAUUUUCAGGCAAUGUUUAUAUACCUUGUAGCUCACUCCAUUGUUCCCUGGUGAACUUUUUGCUCUUGCUUUUCUUAUGAACUCAUCCAUUUCUUUCCGUUUGAUGUCACUCAAAUCAAAUGGUACUCUUCUGGCGGCACUUCUGCAAUCUUGACCCAGGACGUCCUCUGUCCCAUAUAGGUCAGCAGAAGUACCACCUCCUUAGUUUUUAGGGGACUCACGGAAUUCCCGCAGGCCACCUCUUCCCCCGAGGAGCUGUUCUCCUUCCCAUGUAUGUUGGGAGCAACACCACAUCCUUUGUUUUUAGAUGACUCACUGAGUGCUCGUGCGCUUUUCGUUCGUCUUGAAUCUGGCCUUUAUUGUUCCAUAUGCCCGGCCCCUCACUAUGCAUUUUAUAUCUUUCCAUAUAGGGACCAGGUAUUUUUCUAUUUCACAUUCACACUUUUCGAAGUGCUUAAAUUUUUUUGAUGAAAGAUGGUACGUUUUGUAAACGACUGUCCUCUUCAUAUUUUCAACACUAGGGGAGGGUGAGAUCUUUAUAUCCCCACCCUCCUCUUUCAUUCUCUGGAAAAGCUCAAAGAGCUUCUCUGUUUCAAUCAUAAUACCUCUUGAAGACACAGCGGCUACUGCCGCAAACUUUUUUGCUGGCUCGUCCAGCUGGUUUGCUUCUUGAAUUAUUUCGACCAACAUACUCGGUCAAAAUUGAAUUCUUACAUUGUAAAGUUUUCAAUUAUACUCCCUAAAAACAGUCAAAUUUUUAGGUCGUCGAGGAAAGAAACUUGCUUCCACUUUGAGCUCAGACCACGCACAUUCAAACACCCAAGGUUAAGUGCAGUCAUUUAAAACAAAAGAAAUGCAAGGGUUCUACCUACUCUUUGACUUUUUUUAAUUUCUGGUGGAAUAUCCGUGACUGUGAUUUUCGAAGUUCUCUUUCCUAAGUAAGUCGGGAGCAGAACUACUUCUGCCAACUUCACUGUCCUUUUUGAAUCCAUUCUUAUUAUAUUUUUAACCCCUUUGAUGUCAUCCAUCCAAAGUUACUCUAAUUUUCGCAUGUGCUAUGUGGGAUCUGGAUUGUCUUUUAUUAAAUUUUCCACUCCUUUAAUGUCAUUCAUCCAAAUUUUCUCAGUGAUUCUCGGAUGCGCCAUGUGGGAUCUCAAUUUUUGGUUAAAUAUUUAUAAAAAUGUCGAUGAUGAGGAUUAGAGGAAAGAGGCAAAGAAAGAAAUGAAAUAUUAUGGACAAAUAUAUCUGGUUACUUAGCAACAUUUCAUAUUGUGUAUAAAAUAAUAAAUAGUCAAAUUUGAGAAGGCAAUAAACAGAACAACUUACUAUUGUUGGAUCCAUUCUUAUUAAAUCUUUAACUCCUUCAAUGUCACUCAUCCAAAUUUUGUCAGUGAUUCUCGUGUGUGCGCCAUGUGGAAAUAUGACUCAUGGCUGCCUCAUCCCAAAUGUUAAGGUUGCCCUCAUUGAGAAGAUUCCCCAUGGCUGAGCCACGACUAACAUUGCAAGUUGGAUUUCCCUUUUUGGUCAAGUCUGGUGGUCACUUGAAGGCUGAGUGUGCCGUACGACCGCCAUGCAGUAGAGUUGCUGCAAUGCUGCUGGAUGCAACCGCUAUGGCAAUCCAAUUUUCCUGGCGAAUUUUUGUCGAGCAGGAGGUUCAUGAGAAAAGCUUUUCCAUUUCCGCCAGGAACAUCCAAGAAAAACGAAGUCGUCCUUCGUUAGAAUUACCACUGUUGAGGAUCUUGUUGUAUGCAAUUCUCUGUACUUCCAAAAGUCUAGGCUCAUCCUGAGCAACCUGUGCUGCCAUUUCUUGCGUGUUGUAGCUCUCAACUCUCGCAUGUACUCAGCAGUCAAAGCAUUUGGAAUGUCCCACGGAGUCGGCAAACCGAAAUCUGAGGACGCCAAUACCUCCCAUAGUUUGCAGUCGCGAUUCCAAAUCGAGGAGGGCUUUUUUGUAGAAGACUUUAUUGGGGUCAAAUGCAGGCAUUGGAUCCUAGGCUUGAAAUCUUCGGAGACAGUCUUCGGACCAACUAUCUUUAACCCUUUAAUGUUCGCAUUAUUCUGCCAAAAUUUAUGCUUUUUCAUCCACACUGUUUUGAACUAAUCAUGCAUCAUCUUGUAGCUAUGAGAUUUUGAUGAGGUAGCUAUUAAUUUUUAAGAUGAUAUUGUAGGGUUGGUGUGAGAGACCAGAUCUGGCCAGUUUGAACAUAAAACGGGUAGAAUAUUUUUGGCCAGAUAUGGCUGGUUUAAAUGCUAAAGGGUUAAAUGUCUCCCACAAAAGAAGAGGGUCAGACGUAUUACUGAAUAAUAGCAAGAUGAGACAAGAGCCUUCUUCUAACAGUUAUGGUUGAUAUUUAUGAAGUACUUGUCUCAUUGAAGUCUGCACAGAGCUCCAACGAUGUCUUUCUCCUGUUUCUGAGCAACUGAUGGAUGAUAGAUCUGUCUUCACGAAGAGAUGUAACCUUUUUUUCCUUCAUAUUUUUUUGUAUCGUCUUCACAUCUUUUGUCCCCUGAAGUGCUUGAAAGUCGUUGGCACCACACAUCAUCAUCAUCAUUAUCAUCAUCAUCAUUUAACGUCCGCUUUCCAUGCUAGCAUGGGUUGGACGGUUCGACCGGGGUCUAGGGAGCCAGGGGCUGCUCCAGGCUCCAGUCUGAUCUGGCAGAGUUUCUACACCUGGAUGCCCUUCCUAACGCCAAUCACUCCGCGAGUGUAGUGGGUGCUUUUUACGUGCCACCUGCACAGAAGCCAGUCGAGGCGGCGCUGGCAUCGACCACGUUCAGAUGGUGCUUUUUAUGUGUCACCGGCACAGGUAUCACAACUACUGUUUCCAUUGAUAUUUGGUUGGAGAAUAUUUCGUCUUCUGAGCAAUUUGCCUUUGAGAAAUUCCAUCUUCAUGAUGAGCUUAUGAUUUGACCUCACUCACACACAUUCAACUCCCCUGUUUUAGCCAUUUUACUGUUUAUUAAUUGUAUCUACGGCGUAUUUCAGCAUAAAACUCUGAAAUAAUCAGGGAAACAUGAGUUAAUUUUAGACGUUGGUCUUACUCAUAAUUAGUUGCGAUUUUCUUUCUCUUUUACUGGUUUCAGUCAUUUGACUGCGGCCAUGCUGGAGCACCGCCUUUAGUCGAGCAAAUCGACCCCGGGACUUAUUCUUUGUAAGCCCAGUACUUAUUCUAUUGGUCUCUUUUGCUGAACCGCUAAGUGACGGGGACGUAAGCACACCAGCAUCGGUUGUCAAGCAAUGCUAGGGGGACAAACACAGACACACAAACACACACACACAUACGUAUAUAUAUACAUAUAUACGACAGGCUUCUUUCAGUUUCCGUCUACCAAAUCCACUCACAAGGCAUUGGUCGGCCCGGGGCUAUAGCAGAAGACACUCGCCCAAGAUGCCACGCAGUGGGACUGAACCCGGAACCAUGUGGUUGGUUAGCAAGCUACUUACCACACAGCCACUCCUGCGCCUAUAUAUACAGUAUAGUAUAAAAAUGGUAAUUGAUUCUAAGGGAUGGUCAUCCAGAUAUCAAAACUACUGUAUAUUGUGAAAUAUACCACAAUCUACCACGUGCAUGAGUUUCAUUAACACUGAGAUAGCAGAACCCCAAAACAUUGGGUUGGCCUAAUACUUUUGGCCAAGGCUGUAUGUAUGUAGCUAUAUAAGAACACAGAUGGGUUGAGAUUCACUAUAGCUGUUUCGAACACAUUAUUUAUUUUUUUGGUGACCAAAUCACUUAUAUCCUGAAAAAAAACUGUUUUUUUCUACAUGAAUACUCUUACUCUUUACUCUUUUACUUGUUGCAGUCAUUUGACUGUGGCCAUGCUGGAGCACCGCCUUUAGUCGAGCACAUCGACCCCAGGACUUAUUCUCUUUUUUUUCAUUUGCCAAACCGCUAAGUUACUGGGACGUAAACACACCAGCAUCUGUUGGGGGGACAGACACACAUACAUAUAUAUGUGUGUGUGUGUGUAUAUAUAUAUAUAUAUAUGCAUAUAUACGACGGGAUUCUUUCAGUCUCCGUCUACCAAAUCCACUCACAAGGCAUUGGUCGGCCCGAGGCUAUAGCAGAAGACACUUGCCCAAGGUGCCACACAGUGGGGCUGAACCCGGAACCAUGUGGUUGGUAAGCAAGCUACUUACCACACAGCCACUCCUGCACCUAUAUAUAUAUAUAUAUAUAUAUACACACACACACACAAUUUCACAUUGCUGUAAAUAUGUACAUAUGCUCUCGUCAGCAUAUAUAUGUCUUCUUUUUAUUUUUUGUAAAUGAUUUGAACAAAUUUUUAUUGUUAAAUUACCUUUGAGAGAAGGCAUCAUUGUCACUACAUCUGCUUUGAUCUCUCUUCUCUCCUGCACACCUCACAGACAUACACCUGUUUUCAUUCCUUGGUAUUAUUAAUUUUCAGACAUGGAUUGAAACAUUUUUCAUAACUCUUGUUUAAAAAUUUCAAAAUAUAUGUAAUUUUUUUUUCUUGAAUAAAAAUGUACCAACAAC
RNAcentral lists this long non-coding RNA (10038 nucleotides) under Octopus vulgaris (common octopus). The record is from RNAcentral. Lineage: Eukaryota; Metazoa; Mollusca; Cephalopoda; Octopoda; Octopodidae.